This 755-nucleotide ribosomal RNA is filed under the name uncultured Burkholderiales bacterium. RNAcentral's name for it is "bacterial SSU rRNA". It matches the Rfam family "Bacterial small subunit ribosomal RNA", at positions 30 to 778 of the family's 1533-position model. Lineage: Bacteria; Pseudomonadati; Pseudomonadota; Betaproteobacteria; Burkholderiales. The record is from RNAcentral.
UGAACGCUGGCGGGAUGCUUUACACAUGCAAGUCGAACGGUAACAGGUCUUCGGAUGCUGACGAGUGGCGAACGGGUGAGUAAUAUAUCGGAACGUGCCCAGCUCGUGGGGGAUAACGUAGCGAAAGUUACGCUAAUACCUGCAGUACGAUCUACGGAUGAAAGCGGGGGAUCGCAAGACCUCGCGCGAUUGGAGCGGCCGAUAUCAGAUUAGGUAGUUGGUGGGGUAAAGGCUCACCAAGCCAACGAUCUGUAGCUGGUCUGAGAGGACGACCAGCCACACUGGAACUGAGACACGGUCCAGACUCCUACGGGAGGCAGCAGUGGGGAAUUUUGGACAAUGGACGCAAGUCUGAUCCAGCCAUUCCGCGUGCAGGAUGAAGGCCCUCGGGUUGUAAACUGCUUUUGUACAGAACGAAAAGGCUCUUCCUAAUACGAGGGGCUCAUGACGGUACUGUAAGAAUAAGCACCGGCUAACUACGUGCCAGCAGCCGCGGUAAUACGUAGGGUGCAAGCGUUAAUCGGAAUUACUGGGCGUAAAGCGUGCGCAGGCGGUUAUAUAAGACAGAUGUGAAAUCCCCGGGCUCAACCUGGGAACCGCAUUUGUGACUGUAUAGCUAGAGUACGGCAGAGGGGGAUGGAAUUCCGCGUGUAGCAGUGAAAUGCGUAGAUAUGCGGAGGAACACCGAUGGCGAAGGCAAUCCCCUGGGCCUGUACUGACGCUCAUGCACGAAAGCGUGGGGAGCAAAACAGGAU